RNAcentral lists this ribosomal RNA (888 nucleotides) under uncultured bacterium. RNAcentral describes it as "bacterial SSU rRNA". It matches the Rfam family "Bacterial small subunit ribosomal RNA", at positions 9 to 924 of the family's 1533-position model. The record is from RNAcentral.
GAGUUUGAUCAUGGCUCAGGAUGAACGCUGACAGAAUGCUUAACACAUGCAAGUCUACUUGAUCCUUCGGGUGAAGGUGGCGGACGGGUGAGUAACGCGUAAAGAACUUGCCUUACAGACUGGGACAACAUUUGGAAACGAAUGCUAAUACCGGAUAUUAUGAUUGGGUCGCAUGAUCUGGUUAUGAAAGCUAUAUGCGCUGUGAGAGAGCUUUGCGUCCCAUUAGUUAGUUGGUGAGGUAACGGCUCACCAAGACGAUGAUGGGUAGCCGGCCUGAGAGGGUGGACGGCCACAAGGGGACUGAGACACGGCCCUUACUCCUACGGGAGGCAGCAGUGGGGAAUAUUGGACAAUGGACCAAAAGUCUGAUCCAGCAAUUCUGUGUGCACGAUGAAGUUUUUCGGAAUGUAAAGUGCUUUCAGUUGGGAAGAAGUCAGUGACGGUACCAACAGAAGAAGCGACGGCUAAAUACGUGCCAGCAGCCGCGGUAAUACGUAUGUCGCAAGCGUUAUCCGGAUUUAUUGGGCGUAAAGCGCGUCUAGGCGGCUUAGUAAGUCUGAUGUGAAAAUGCGGGGCUCAACCCCGUAUUGCGUUGGAAACUGCUAAACUAGAGUACUGGAGAGGUAGGCGGAACUACAAGUGUAGAGGUGAAAUUCGUAGAUAUUUGUAGGAAUGCCGAUGGGGAAGCCAGCCUACUGGACAGAUACUGACGCUAAAGCGCGAAAGCGUGGGUAGCAAACAGGAUUAGAUACCCUGGUAGUCCACGCCGUAAACGAUGAUUACUAGGUGUUGGGGGUCGAACCUCAGCGCCCAAGCUAACGCGAUAAGUAAUCCGCCUGGGGAGUACGUACGCAAGUAUGAAACUCAAAGGAAUUGACGGGGACCCGC